RNAcentral lists this long non-coding RNA (940 nucleotides) under Callithrix jacchus (white-tufted-ear marmoset). Its description in RNAcentral is "lncRNA (ENSCJAG00000081209.1)". The record is from RNAcentral. Lineage: Eukaryota; Metazoa; Chordata; Mammalia; Primates; Cebidae.
CAUUGGUAUGUUUUUUCAUAUUGAGGGGUUUUAUUCCCAAAGCAACUUUUGAUUGUUGAAAAGAGUUUGGUAGAUCAUAUGUGCCUCCUCCUAUAGCCUUGGCAUAUCAGGUAUUGGUGGGAAAAGUGUCAGAACCACCCAGAAGGCAGUCUGAAAGGCUUAAACUCACUCUGAAGAUAUGGUUGUAUUAUUGGAUAGGAUCUCACAGUCAUCACUGAAAUGAGCUCUUCCUACACAAUGCCUACCUUUAUGCUGUAAAUCAUUCUUCUUGUCUUUUUGUUUCCCUAGAUUACUCCCUGCCAAAUCUUCAGGAGUAUUGUUCCUGUUCUUGUAUUUUAAGGAAAAGAGCACCUCUGGGAUGUUCUCUUGAGUCAACACUGGAAAACUCCUCCUAGGAGAUAAGAUGUGUACACUAAGACACUGAGAAGAAAGCAGGCAGAACACUGAAGAGUUGGUAGAUGUUUUCUCUGGACCUGAACAUCAGUGCAUUGAAAAUGGAGUUGGUCAUUGUGGGUUUGGCAGUGAGGGUUGGGCCAGGAUAGGUACUGGCCUGAAGAGAUCUGGAGGCUGGAAUGUCCAAGAUGAAGGUGCUGGGAGCUCUGAUUUCUGGUGAGUAGAUGGCUGCUUUGUCAUUGUAGCCUUGCCUGGAGGAGAGAAGAGAGAGAGAGAAAAAAUAAGUACUUCCCUGUCUCUUCUAAUAAGGGCAUUAAUUCUAUCAUGAGAGCUCCAUCUUCACAACAUAAUUACCUCUCAUAGACCCUAUCUCCAAAUACUAUCACUUUGGUCAUUAGGGCUCCUACAUAUAAAUUUGAGGGAACUAAACAUUCAGUCCAUAGCAGUCAUAGAGGGCUCCAUGGGUGGUUUAAUGUUCUGACAUUAUAAUUCGAAAUUCUCAUCUUGUAUUAUUCUUUUAUCUUUGAAUUUGUGUUUUGUAAGUUAA